This 460-nucleotide ribosomal RNA is filed under the name uncultured bacterium. RNAcentral describes it as "partial 16S ribosomal RNA". It matches the Rfam family "Bacterial small subunit ribosomal RNA", at positions 338 to 795 of the family's 1533-position model. The record is from RNAcentral.
CCUACGGGUGGCAGCAGUGAGGAAUAUUGGUCAAUGGACGAGAGUCUGAACCAGCCAAGUAGCGUGAAGGAUGACUGCCCUAUGGGUUGUAAACUUCUUUUAUAUGGGAAUAAAAUGUUCCACGUGUGGGAUUUUGUAUGUACCAUAUGAAUAAGGAUCGGCUAACUCCGUGCCAGCAGCCGCGGUAAUACGGAGGAUCCGGGCGUUAACCGGAUUUAUUGGGUUUAAAGGGAGCGUAGGUGGAUUGUUAAGUCAGUUGUGAAAGUUUGCGGCUCAACCGUAAAAUUGCAGUUGAAACUGGCAGUCUUGAGUACAGUAGAGGUGGGCGGAAUGCGUGGUGUAGCGGUGAAAUGCUUAGAUAUCACGAAGAACUCCGAUUGCGAAGGCAGUUCACUGGACUGCAACUGACACUGAGGCUCGAAAGUGUGGGUAUCAAACAGGAUUAGAUACCCUAGUAGUC